GGUAGUCCACGCCGUAAACGAUGAGUGCUAAGUGUUAGAGGGUUUCCGCCCUUUAGUGCUGAAGUUAACGCAUUAAGCACUCCGCCUGGGGAGUACGGCCGCAAGGGUGAAACUCAAAGGAAUUGACGGGGGCCCGCACAAGCGGUGGAGCAUGUGGUUUAAUUCGAAGCAACGCGAAGAACCUUACCAGGGCUUGACAUCCUCUGACAACCCUAGAAAUGAGGAUUCGCCUUCGGGAGCACAAUGACAGGUGGUGCAUGGUUGUCGUCAGCUCGUGUCGUGAGAUGUUGGGUUAAGUCCCGCAACGAGCGCAACCCUUGAUCUUAGUUGCCAUCAUUAAGUUGGGCACUCUAAAGUGACUGCCGGUGACAAACCGGAGGAAGGUGGGGAUGACGUCAAAUCAUCAUGCCCCUUAUGACCUGGGCUACACACGUGCUACAAUGGACGG
RNAcentral lists this ribosomal RNA (448 nucleotides) under Anabaena sp. BTA880. RNAcentral describes it as "bacterial SSU rRNA". It matches the Rfam family "Bacterial small subunit ribosomal RNA", at positions 789 to 1237 of the family's 1533-position model. Lineage: Bacteria; Bacillati; Cyanobacteriota; Cyanophyceae; Nostocales; Nostocaceae. The record is from RNAcentral.